Lytechinus variegatus (green sea urchin) is the source of this 1529-nucleotide long non-coding RNA. RefSeq lists it as uncharacterized. Lineage: Eukaryota; Metazoa; Echinodermata; Echinoidea; Temnopleuroida; Toxopneustidae. The transcript is spliced from 3 exons. The record is from RefSeq and is a predicted model, not a curated record.
GUCUCCAUGCUGCCUGACCAAUCAAGCCUAGUUCCAUGUGGAAAGCCUUACAGGUGUGAAUGAUGCCCAAUGUCACGCGUACAUGAUUCUGUCAUCCAUCUGUGCCUAGAUCCUCCAGGGAGAAACGUGAACGCAUCCUCAUGACACAUUUAGUCUCGCAUUCAGACUCCCAUCCUACAUGUACCUACGCUCUCCGAUCAGGUUCACGAACGAGCUUCCACAGACGAUGUCGGAUAUGAAAUAACAGAACUGUCAUCGGAAGUUUACCGUCUUUUUGAAGGAGUGGUGGAUGUUUUCCAACAAAUCCUCAAGAGAAGGAGAUGCUCAAUUUGCUGGUGGCCCUACGUGCAGGUCAUGUGACUCGUUGAUCACAAUUGCUAGCUUGAGGUCCUAAUUUGAACCAAUCCCCUCGCUCGCAAUGCAUGAUUGCUUUUCAUCUAUGUUGAAUAUCGUGUUGCUUUAAUUCAACCGCAUAUUUUCAGUUACUUCCCUUCAUCCCUCUUCCAUUUUUUGGUCAUCCCAGCCACAGAUUUGAUUAAAAGGCCCCAAAUUAGAUUUGAUUUUUCCAUUGCCGACGGGUAUGCAAUCCAGGAAAUCAGAUGAUUGCUUGCUUGUAAAUUGAAGCAGAGAUGUAUUAAGAACACUUUAAUUUCUAUGGACAUCCUUUUGAUUAUCGAUAAGUGCGUGUUCAGAAGUAAACAUCCGCAUGCUUGUGUUUACGGACAUGUGUUUUUAACCCCUCAAGAAUAGUCGUCAAGUUUAAAGCAUCAACACACCCUCGACUGGUUGAAACCUGGAAAGUUGCGAGGGUUCAACUGAAUUUCAUCGGGAUUUCUAUCUCCUGUUUGCACCGUCAAUCCUAAAUGGCAACCGAGUGAGGAUUGUAGGAAAUAGAUUGUGUGAUCAAGAAGUGGAAUUUCAAUUCUCUCAUCCUUCAAAGCCAGCUUGUAAAACAAGACAACAUUCAUGCGAUGAUAGGUACCUGCAAAUGUUCAGCUGUCAAUUGAAAAGUAUAUUCUCCUUUGAUGUCUGUUGGAUCAGUUGCGCCUGCCGCCACCGCAACAGCUUUCAAAUUAUUGAAAUCGACUUUUAUCUGGCGGGAAUAUAUUUAUUGAGAAGAGAGAGAGGAAUACCAGGAGACAAAUAUUUGUGAACAUUUGAUUUUGAUUACAAGUGCCUUCAACAGUGGAAGUGGAGUGGGUUAUAUUGUCUUCAAAAUUGUUAGCCUUUGGAGUGGAAUCUGGGGAUCACGAGGAGAAUAUAAAAACAGAUUUUAUUAAAGCGCAUAGAGAUGCAUUGGCAAGAAUUGUUGUCGUCUGUUUGGCAGUGUCUGGUGUUACCCUUAGAAAACAUGCUUAAGUUCAGGUACGUAAAGAAUUCUCUUAUAUUUUCAAUACUAGGGGGUCGUUUCAUAAAGCUGUCCGUGAGUUACAUGUAUGCACAACUUUGCGUGAGACUGGUGAUCCUUUCUCGUGGUAACUGAUAUUUACCCCCAAAAAGGCCGUCUGCACCAUCCCGAGUUUUCAAAU